GAAAUGCGAUAAGUAAUGUGAAUUGCAGAAUUCAGUGAAUCAUCGAAUCUUUGAACGCACAUUGCGCCCGCCAGUAUUCUGGCGGGCAUGCCUGUUCGAGCGUCAUUUCAACCAUCAAGCCCCCGGCUUGUGUUGGGGACCUGCGGCUGCCCGCAGGCCCUGAAAAACAGUGGCGGGCUCGCUGGCACACCGAGCGUAGUAGCAUACAUUCUCGCUCAGGGCGUGCUGCGGGUUCCGGCCGUUAAACGACCUUCAUAACCCAAGGUUGACCUCGGAUCAGGUAGGAAGACCCGCUGAACUUAAGC
RNAcentral lists this unclassified non-coding RNA (305 nucleotides) under plant metagenome. RNAcentral's name for it is "partial contains 5.8S ribosomal RNA, internal transcribed spacer 2, and large subunit ribosomal RNA". The stretch from base 1 to 105 matches the Rfam family "5.8S ribosomal RNA", at positions 50 to 154 of the family's 154-position model. The record is from RNAcentral.